Molecule: ribosomal RNA, 769 nt
Filed under: uncultured Pseudoalteromonadaceae bacterium
Lineage: Bacteria; Pseudomonadati; Pseudomonadota; Gammaproteobacteria; Alteromonadales; Pseudoalteromonadaceae
Description: bacterial SSU rRNA
Rfam family: Bacterial small subunit ribosomal RNA
Source: RNAcentral
AUUGAACGCUGGCGGCGGCCUAACACAUGCAAGUCGAGCGGAAACGAGUUAUCUGAACCUUCGGGGAACGAUAACGGCGUCGAGCGGCGGACGGGUGAGUAAUGCCUAGGAAAUUGCCCUGAUGUGGGGGAUAACCAUUGGAAACGAUGGCUAAUACCGCAUGAUGCCUACGGGCCAAAGAGGGGGACCUUCGGGCCUCUCGCGUCAGGAUAUGCCUAGGUGGGAUUAGCUAGUUGGUGAGGUAAGGGCUCACCAAGGCGACGAUCCCUAGCUGGUCUGAGAGGAUGAUCAGCCACACUGGAACUGAGACACGGUCCAGACUCCUACGGGAGGCAGCAGUGGGGAAUAUUGCACAAUGGGCGCAAGCCUGAUGCAGCCAUGCCGCGUGUAUGAAGAAGGCCUUCGGGUUGUAAAGUACUUUCAGUCGUGAGGAAGGCGGCGUCGUUAAUAGCGGCGUUGUUUGACGUUAGCGACAGAAGAAGCACCGGCUAACUCCGUGCCAGCAGCCGCGGUAAUACGGAGGGUGCGAGCGUUAAUCGGAAUUACUGGGCGUAAAGCGCAUGCAGGUGGUUUGUUAAGUCAGAUGUGAAAGCCCGGGGCUCAACCUCGGAAUAGCAUUUGAAACUGGCAGACUAGAGUACUGUAGAGGGGGGUAGAAUUUCAGGUGUAGCGGUGAAAUGCGUAGAGAUCUGAAGGAAUACCGGUGGCGAAGGCGGCCCCCUGGACAGAUACUGACACUCUGAUGCGAAAGCGGGGGGGAGCAAACAGG